CUCACAUUGGCAGAAUUGACCAUUAAUUAUGAUGACCACAGGUGGCAAUCCACAUGUAUCUUAGCUUUCUCUGGAAAAUGUGCAGCAUAAAAGCUAUUAGAACCAAGGUAAAAGCAAAUUCUCUGGUGGAAGGAAAAGGAGGAAAAUAUCACAAAUUUGACAGUAAUAUGCACUCUUUAAUUUAGAACUCAGAACACCAGGAAAAUAAUCAGACAAGCAUGGGCAUUCCGGAUUGUGGUGCUCUGCGUCCAGAACCCAGUACUCUCUUCUGGAGUUGUGGCCCAGUCUCUCUCUGCCAGUGAUGACAAAACAGGAAAACGGCCAAGUACACACCAGGAAGAAGGCCCUCAUUAGAUCUACUGGCACUUUGAUCUUGGACUUCCCAGGUCUCAAACCCAUGAAAAAUAAAUUCCUGCUGUUUAAGCCUUCCAGCAUAUGCUGUUCUAUAAUAGCAGCCCAAAUUGACUAAGGCAGAUAUGAAAUGCAUUGCUUUUGUUACAGUUAAUUCUUGAUGAAUCUAGCAACUGAGACUUCCCUUGAUGGUGUUUUUACUAAACUUAACUAAUUUUAUUGACAUUGAAUGACUUAAGCAAAGCUACAUCAGAUACCAUGUAAAAGUAAGACUACUUUAUUUCUCACGGGUAAGAGGAAGUAAGAUUCUUCCUGUAAUCAAAAGAAGAAUCAAACUCCAAAUGAUAAAGAGUGUCACUCUAUUUAUGGACAGUAAGCCAGACAUAGGCCCAGUGACACUCUUUUCUUCAGAUCAGUACAGGAGAUGUUUAAUCAUAAAAGUAUCAUUCCUAUUUUAUGAAUGAAAAGAUUGAGGGUCAAGACAAUUGCAUAAUUUCUGCAAGAUCAAACCAGAAAUUAUAGUAAGGAAGGGAGAGGUUCAAGUGCAAUGAAUUCUACAGAGAAAGGCUACUCUAACAACUCUCUUUUAAGGCUGGGCCUGGUAGUUUGCUGAGACACAAGACUUCCAAGCAACAGAGGACGGUCCCUGUGAAAAACAGACAUGGAGCAUCCUGUUUAGAGACAUGCAAAGCAUGACAAGAAGUGUAGACUUUAUUAAAAGAAAAAUGGUUGACUGCUGAAUGUAUUAAGCCAGGAAGGCCAUGACUUGAAUUUGAGGCCAUUCUGUCGUGUCACAUCUAGCACACUACUGCACACAUGGCCCUUUAAAACAUUGCCUGGAACAAAAUGAGAUUUACAGAAAGAAAAGCAAUAAGUACUCCAUCUCAGAGACAUUCUUAGGAGAAUCAAUCCUCAGAUGAACAUAUAUCUCUGCUGUCUGGGACAUUCUGACUCUUUGGAAUUUUUACGAUUCAUUUUUCUUCAGCUUUGUGGAUUUCAAACCAACAAAUCAUCAUCCUCCACCACCAAAAAAAAUGCAACAAUGACAAAUACUUCCUAAGUGUUAUGAGUUUCCUUUCCUGCAAUAGAUAAUUGUCUUUAUUUUCAGUUCUAAUUAAAACCCCACUCAUAUGUUGUCCAAUGCUGUUCUCACAUUUGAGUUUAUGAUUUAAAUUUCAGGGUUCAAGACAACACUCAGGGUACCUUUCACACCAUUGUGAUUUUAUCAGAUAUAAGCCUGCAUUUCAUCUGAAUCAGCUCCUGCAGUGCGAAGAGUCACAAGCAUCAUUUGGGGUCACCCUAGAGAGAGGCUACUUGUGCUCACAGCAGUCUAAGAGAACACAUUGUCCUUCUGUGUCAGAAUCUGGAUUGUCUUCUGAAUACUCAAAAGCACUGGGUACAUUUGAAUUCUCACAUCUUUUGAAUUAAUGUGGCCAGGAACUCGUUUGUACAACAAACAAUUUUCCUCCUCACUUAGAUACUUCAAGUAUGUCUGAAACUGAAAAACUGUGGGAAAAUGAGAAAAUUCAUCUGAAAUUUCAGAUAAUCUGUCUGGAAUAGCAGCGGUGAUUGUGAUGGCAAUGAAAUUCUUGGGAAGAAUACUUUUCCUGGGUGAUUCUUAUCACACUUUCAGAUCACAGUACAAUUAAUGGAAUAAAAUGACUUAACCAUCUGGGUAUCCAGAGGAAACCAUUUCUAGUUCCUUUCCUGCUUGCACAAUGAGUUAGAUUGUUAGACAAUUUUCUUUAAUUUUACUUCAGCUGUAAAUUUCUGUUCAAAUACUCGGGGAAACAAAGCAUAUGCAAGCAGACAAACCUCGCAGUUAAUGAAACGCCUCUGUGAGGAUUACAAUCGAUAACAGUAUAAUCUAUGUUUAUAAAUAAGAGUAGGGCUUCAGAAGAGUGUUGGGCAGUGAUGAAUUAUUCAAGAAGUCUGCUUUGUUGUUGCAGUUACCUCCAUGCUAAAAGCUCUUCAGUGACAGAAACUCCUAGCUUAGGACCUUCUUUUUCCAGUCUCCUUUGUACAACUCAACUCUCUUCCUCCUAGAGACCACGGCUCCUGCAGCUUAUCUGAGAGGAGCCUCCAGAGAGAGCCACUGAAGUCCAAGAGGGCUAAAUCACUUUCUGCCCAUCACAGAACCACACGCAGAAUUAUUUAUUGCGCAGAAGCAGCGCUGCUGAAUGUUCCGCUGACAGUGUAUUGAAGACCAGCACCCAGCACUUUCCAGGGACUGUCAGGCAGGGUUAAUAUAAGGGCCACGAUGGCCUCCUCUGUUCAGCUUAGUGCUGUGCCCCACUUCUGAUGGAUCUGUCAACUAGAGCAAGGGGGCAAUAGAUAAUAGAAUGAACUAAACCCAUGAAAUUCCUGUAAUGUAUAGUUUGCUUUCACUACAAGGUUCAGCAUAUUAGUGCAAAAAUCAAUAAGGACAAUACCUGGCCUUGGUAAAGACUGUAUCAUAUUGCUCUCAAGUACAUGAAGUCAAAUUCACUGUUUCAUAGGGAGAAAAGUCACUCUUCAUCAAGCUUUCACUUAACCAUAGAAAGGUUUUUGAUGUGGCCUUCUAACUCAUUUGAUUUAAGUCAAUAUCUUUUUCUUUACAAGUGUUGACAUUCCCCUGUGGCAGGAAAAUCAACAUUUUGAGUCACUCACUUUAAAUAACAGACUGAGACCCAAAGAUUCAGCAUCUAUUCAUUUUAAAAUUGUUUCAAAAGCUUUUUAAAAAUGCUGAAGUUUUAAGUCCCAUCCCAUCUAAGUAAUCUCGAUAUUUUUCAUUUUAUUUGUGAUUUCACCAUAAGUCAUUACUGUGCUAUGAUCAAACUUAAAAGAGAUCUACUGUCUGGGGUUAUAUACAUAAUCCAAUACAUUAACAACACCAUUAUGACUAAUGUCUAGAGGGAUUUAGAGUUACCUGAAAUAGAAACUAAGCUUCCCCUAAUACACUCAAGAAACAAGAGAAAAGGAAAUACCUAAUUUUAGGAGAUUGAGGUCAUAUCCACACUACUUCACCAAAAAAUAAAUUACUUUUCAGCAAUAGAUAACAAAAUCUCAUAUGAAAAAUGACAAACAGAACUCUGGGAAAGAAGAAAUCAUUCUGAUAAAGGCAAUGAUAUUGUAGACAUCUUCUCUGGAAAAUCACUUGUGAUCCAACAGCAGGUAGAAAUCCAUAUUCAAAUUUAUGACAAGUGGUGACAAAAAUUUAUUUGUGCACCCUUCUUCUAAUGUAAGAUAUCUGAUUUGAAAGUUAUUUCAAUAUAUAAUCCCUUGCUAAGCCUCAGCAUCAUAUCACCAUCUUAUAUUGUUAAAGUUCGGGAACAUUGAUUCUAGAGGCUGAUACAAAAUGUUCAUAACCAUGGGGAAAUCAACAAGGAUGAAGAGGAAAUAUGGAGAGUGAAAUAGUUCUACACAAAGAAUACUAAAAAGAAAUGCAGUAGCUCAAAACAGGAAUAAAAAUACACGAGAUAAAUACCUUAAAAAGAUGACCAAUGGUCAACCUUUAUUUAAUGUUAAAAAUAUUAUCUCUGUCUUUAAGCAAUCAAUAUCUGUAAAUUUGAAGGACUCAACUUUCUUUAAAUCUCUACACCCUUUUAAAAAGUAAUCUUUGUGACAUAUUUUAUAAGUCCAGACUCAUUUUAGUCUUCCUAAAGAUGAACAACAGCUCUAGUAU
Molecule: non-coding RNA, 4015 nt
Organism: Oryctolagus cuniculus (rabbit)
Lineage: Eukaryota; Metazoa; Chordata; Mammalia; Lagomorpha; Leporidae
Source: RefSeq, a predicted model, not a curated record